RNAcentral lists this ribosomal RNA (443 nucleotides) under uncultured bacterium. RNAcentral describes it as "partial 16S ribosomal RNA". It matches the Rfam family "Bacterial small subunit ribosomal RNA", at positions 338 to 795 of the family's 1533-position model. The record is from RNAcentral.
CCUACGGGAGGCAGCAGUGGGGAAUAUUGGGCAAUGGGCGCAAGCCUGACCCAGCAACGCCGCGUGAAGGAAGAAGGCUUUCGGGUUGUAAACUUCUUUUCUCAGGGACGAAGCAAGUGACGGUACCUGAGGUAUAAGCCACGGCUAACUACGUGCCAGCAGCCGCGGUCAUACGUAGGUGGCAGGCGUUAUCCGGAUUUACUGGGUGUAAAGGGCGUGUUGGCGGGACUGCAAGUCAGAUGGGAAAACCAUGGGCUCAACCUAUGGCCUGCCUUUGAAACUGUAGUUCUUGAGUACUGGAGAGGCAGACGGAAUUCCUAGUGUAGCGGUGAAAUGCGUAGAUAUUAGGAGGAACACCAGUGGCGAAGGCGGUCUGCUGGACAGCAACUGACGCUGAGGCGCGAAAGCGUGGGGAGCAAACAGGAUUAGAUACCCCAGUAGUC